UGGAUCGGUGUUCAUAUUUCAUUGUGAACUAUAAUACAAAAAUUUUGUACCUUCAAUUAUCACAUUCUGUACCUACAGUUAACAGUUUCUAAAACUUAAUUUGGACUA
Molecule: long non-coding RNA, 108 nt
Organism: Ipomoea nil (Japanese morning glory)
Lineage: Eukaryota; Viridiplantae; Streptophyta; Magnoliopsida; Solanales; Convolvulaceae
Exons: 3
Source: RefSeq, a predicted model, not a curated record